UAGGUACUCCCUCCGUUUCAAGAUACUUGUCCUGAAAAUGGAUAAAAUAGAUGUAUUUAUAACUAAAUUAAGUCUAGAUACAACCAUUUUUAGGACAAGUAUUUUCGGAUGGAGGGAGUAGUAC
Molecule: non-coding RNA, 124 nt
Organism: Triticum aestivum (bread wheat)
Lineage: Eukaryota; Viridiplantae; Streptophyta; Magnoliopsida; Poales; Poaceae
Source: Rfam